RNAcentral lists this long non-coding RNA (2702 nucleotides) under Homo sapiens (human). Its description in RNAcentral is "HSALNT0379370". Lineage: Eukaryota; Metazoa; Chordata; Mammalia; Primates; Hominidae. The record is from RNAcentral.
GUGUUUAAUAGCUGCCUAAGUAACGGCGUGCCCUCUUUGGAGCAAAACUGAGGAGCAAAGAUUCCUAACUGGGGAGGUCCUGGAAGGACAUGUGAGGAAGUUACACUUUGCAACCCUAAACACCAGAAGGUCAGAAUUUGGUUGGCGAGGCAGAUGCCACAGGCUCCGGAUGGCUGUUAAAUCUGCCCAGCCCUGGCCCAGUUCUCGGACUGAAGACACAGACAGGGGCCCAGGAGGAAACGGCUGGGCCCAGACCACCUCGUGGGUGAUGCCUCCCCAAGAGAAGAUGUGGCACACAGGUCUUCUCCAGGGCCCCUCCCCAGACAACGGACCCCCCGCUGCCCAAGCCAGAAAGCCGGGUGUCGUCCUCAGAGUCCCGUCUUCCUCAGCCCCACCCCCUGCUGCUGCCCUUUCUACUCCCUAGAUCUGGCCUCUCCCUCCCUGCCCACUGCCUGGAAUGGUGCUCCAGGGCCUUCACUUGCCUGUACAGGGCCCCCCAGGACUGGGUGGGGGGCUGCUUCUCUCUCCUUCCUUCCCACCUUUCACUCUCAGCUCCAACCCCAAACCACACUGUGGUCGCCUGGCUAUGCCGUACCCUCACACACGCUGUUCCUCUGCCUGGACACCCGGCCUCCGCUUUUCCAUGCAGUGAACUCCUACUCACCCCUCAGGGGCCCCUCCUCUAGCAAGUCUUUCCUCUUCUAGACUCCCUUUCCCCUGGAUCCCAGGGCCUAAGUGCCCUGCCCUGGGCCUCCUUAGGAAAGAAGGAGGGUUGUAUCUACAGCCUCUGUGCCUUUCACAUCUUCUCUUCAACAUGUCUGUGGGAACUGAAGCAACCAGCUCAACUGAUGAAUCUUAGCAGGAAACUAUCUCACCAAAAGAACUUGGCCUCCACUCCAUCUGUGCCCACGCCACCCCCACCCCCAGAGACCAGCCACUCUUGGCCACAUUCCCCAGGGCCAGGCCUGCUGCAGCACCUGCUGUGUAGCAACUCUGGUCCAGCCAUCCUUUCCAGGGUGGUGGGAACCCAGCCCUGCCCUGGAAGAAGCAGCCCUUUCCCCUGUUGCAGGAUCCAGGCAAGUGCUGGGGCAUCCAGGUCAGCCAGGCCAGCAGGGAAAGGGGCUGGAGGAUGCGCAGCUCUGCCGAGGACGGUGUUCAGUAUGGACAGAGCUGCCCAAGGCAGUGAAAGGGGGCACCCCAUGCCCAGAGGUGUGCCUGUCCUGCCCCAUACACCAGAAACGCAGUAAGCAUGCAUGCCCUCGAUAGGAGUUGGAUUUGAAGAACUGCCAGCUCCCUUCCAACUCACGAGUUGAUUACCUGUUCAUUCAUCAACAAGGAGGUGCUCAGCCCUGUUGUGAUAGAUCAGAAGUUGGACCUGGUGGCUGGGGAAACAGAGGUGGACCAGGGACAGUGCUGCCCUCCAGGAGCUCCCAGCCCAUGGACUAACAGACCCAGAAAUAAACGAUCUGUCUAGAACGCUAAGCUCCAUCUUGUUCACCACUGUACCCCACAAUACUAGGCACAAGGGCUGGCAUACAGUAGGUGCUCAACAAAGGUCUGCUGAAUGACUAAGUGCUGUGAUCGAGGCCCCACCAGGGGCUGAGGAGCCCCAACAGUAUGUGGAGGAAGGAAGGUGAGGAGAGACCUCCUGGAGGUAAGGUCCCCAGGCUGAGCCCUUGGCAUUCCCAGCUAAUGGAUCUGCUGGUCCAGGGCCAGCCAGGAGGCAAGGAAAGCAGGGUGCAGCCCCGAAGACACAGGUGGGCUGAGCAACAUGACUGGGAUUCUGUGGAGGGUGCUGGGAGACCCUGGGGUGCGGGGCCAAGGAGCAAUGGGACCAGGUUUGUCUUGUGGAACAAGGAUGGGCUGCAACAUGUGGGAGACUCUGGGGCUGGGGACAAGGACAGCCCUGAGGGGAUGCAGUGGGUUUGGCUGCAUGUGGCAGGCCCAGAAUGACAGUGGUUUAAAAAAUAAGUUUACCUCUCACGGAGAAGUUUGAGCUGAAAGGUGCCCUCUGCUCCCCCAGGUCACAAGGGCCUGGCCUCGUUCCUGUUUCGGGGACUUCCCAGAGCGGGGCUCCUCCUGGGUGGGUAAUCUGCUCCUACCCCAUUGGACAGACAGAGUCACAUGGCCACAUCUAGCUGUAAGGGAUGCUGGGAAAGGAAUCUGCCAGGGCAGCCAGGUUCUGAGAGGAAUUUUGUUGUUAGGGAAGGCGAGAGAGAGGCUGUUGAGGGACAACUGUCAGAGGCUGUAUCAUGGGCACUGAUUAGGGAGCACCUCGUGCUUUCCCUCUGGAGGGGAAGCAUGGGGCCUGGGCCGAGACUGGCCAGGAUGGAAGGCCUCUAGAAGGUCCCUGAGUGGGGCUGGGGUGUGGUGGGGCUGCCCAUGAGAUGAGGAGCGCCAGAGCUGUGCAGGCAGCGUGGGAUUUGGCAGAGGGAGGGCUGCGGGUUGCAGAGGUGAGUUGGGCCUUUUUGAGAGCGAACUGCCUAGGGAACAGCCCUUGGAGGUGUCCAGGUGAGGCUGAGGUGUGGGACCCACCUGCAGGCAGAGGGCUGUGCUAAGGGUGGCUGGGCCAGGAAAGGCUGGAGAGAGAGGGGACCCUCCGGGGUUCACAAGAAGGAGGGUAAAGUGCAAAGGGGCCUCCCGUAGCUCCAAGGAAGAGGCUGGGACCACUGCGAGAACGGGGAGGGAAACCGUCCCUGAAG